Triticum urartu is the source of this 2758-nucleotide non-coding RNA. Lineage: Eukaryota; Viridiplantae; Streptophyta; Magnoliopsida; Poales; Poaceae. The record is from RefSeq and is a predicted model, not a curated record.
CUGUGGCUUGGGAUUGCGUUCCUUUCUUCACGCAGAACAAGAAAGAGAGUCGUGGUGGUGAAGUGUUGAGAGGAGAGGCAGAGCCUCGCCAUCGCCAUCGCCAUCGCCAUCCCCAUCGCGAUUUCAUCUUCCCGUCGCAGCAAAUGCCGCCGCCGUGCCCGACCCUCUGCCGCCUCCCCGCGACUAACCUCGGCCUCCCUUGGUGCCCCCGGUCCAUACCUCUCCCUCGCCUCGCUCUCGCCGCGCGCCGCGCCAGGGCCGUCGCUGCCAGGGCCUCGUCAUCCUCUUCCUCGCCGGACUCCUCCUUCGGCUCGCGGAUGGAGGACUCUGUCAAGAAGACGCUCGCCGACAACGCCGUCGUCAUCUACUCCAAGUCGUGGUGCUCGUAUUCAAUGGAGGUCAAGGGUCUCUUCAAGCGGAUUGGCGUGGAUCCACAUGUCAUCGAGCUCGACCAGCUCGGUGCUCAGGGACCACAACUGCAAAAGGUGUUAGAGAGGUUGACUGGACAGUCCACCGUCCCUAAUGUUUUCAUUGGUGGAAAGCACAUUGGUGGCUGUACAGCACAUGUUGAGCGUUUUCUUAAGCAUAAAAUCAUCCAUGUCCAAUCUGAUUGGGAGGGGGGGGGGGGUUGGUGAAUACCACAACCUCAAUGCAUUCUUCAACAAGCUUGGGAUUCAUGUGCCUUGUCCUCAUACGCAUCAGCAAAAUGGCACUGUUGAACGUAAGCAUCGUCAUAUUGUUGAAACUGGCCUUGCUUUGCUUGCCCAUGCAUCGGUACCUUUUCGUUUUUGGAGUGAUGCUUUUUCCACCGCCUGUUUUCUUAUUAAUAGGCUUCCUACAUGAUUUCUUGGGAUGAAAACACCACUUGAACUCUUACUUAAUGAAACUCCAGAUUAUACGUUCCUCAAGGUUUUUGGGUGUGCAUGUUGGCCUCACCUUCGCCCUUAUAAUAAGCGUAAGCUUGAGUUUCGGUCCAAACAGUGUGUCUUUCUUGGGUAUAGUUCUCUUCACAAAGGUUACAAGUGCCUUCAUGUUUCGUCUAAUCAUGUCUACAUCUCUCGCGAUGUUGUGUUUGAUGAGAAUGUGUUCCCAUUUUCAUCGUUUUCGCCUGCUCACCCCACUCCACCACCUUUGCACUCUACCUCUCCGUCGCCUGGUCAGUUUGUUGAUAUUGCAUACUCUCCUGCGCUGCUUCCUAACCAUGCUACAGGUAUCGGUCGUGGAGCUCGUCUCGAAUUGCUGGAGAAUCAGGAACCUGCUGCUGCACCUGGCUAGGGUGAUGGGCACGUGCAUGCCCCAUGCACGCCUCGGCCGACCUCCCCUGCCAUGUCGCCCGGGCUGGCCUCCCCUGCUCCGUCGUCGGACCGGCCUCGCCUGUGCCAGUGUCCGGGAUGGCACGCCUGCCACGUCGCCUGGGCUGGCCACGACUGCCUCGUCGCCUGGUCCGGCCUCUCCUGCCCUGUCGCCUGACCCGGCCUCGCCUGCCUCGUCGCCUGGGCAGGCCUCCUCGGGUCCCUUCGACAGGACUACGACACCUGGCUCAUCAUCGCCGGUAGCCUUGCCGACCGCGUCUCCGGACGCAUCCUCCGCCUCGUUGUCACCAUCUCCGGUGCCACCGCCACCUCUGGUGCCACCAAUUGCUGCUGCUUAGUGGCCUCAUACCCGCAGCCGGUCCGGUAUCGUUUGUCCCAAAGAACGAACGGAUGGGACUGUUGCGUGGCUUGCAGCUUGUGUGGCGCACUUGCAGGAUGAUCCGGCUGCUGAACCACGACACUUUCAGGCGGCUCUUGGGAUUCCUCACUGGCGUAGUGCUAUGGAGCAGGAGUAUCAAGCACUACUCAAAAUGGUACUUGGCAGUUAGUUCCUCCGGUCUCUGGUGUCAAUAUCAUUGAUUCCAAGUGGGUCUUCAAGGUUAAAAGGCACGCUGAUGGUUAUUGAGCGCUAUAAAGCAUGGUUAGUGGCAAAAUGAUUCAAACAGAGGUAUGGUCUUGAUUAUGAGGACACUUUUAGCCCGGUUGUUAAGUCGACUACCAUCCGCCUGCUGUUGUCCUUGGCUGUUACUUGUGGCUGGUUUCUUCACCAACUGGAUGUGCAGAAUGCCUUUCUACAUGGUGUUUUGGAAGAGGAGGUUUAUAUGCGUCAGCCACCAGGAUUUGUUGAUCCUGCUCGCCCUCACCAUCUGUGCCGUCUGGUCAAGGUGCUAUAUGGGCUGAAGCAGGCUCCUCGUGCAUGGCAUGCUAGGCUUGGCUCCGCGCUUCGAGCUCUUGGUUUUGUUCCGUCGACUGCUGACACAUCACUGUUUCUUCUUCAGCGACCUGAGGUUACGAUGUAUCUGUUGGUCUAUGUUGAUGACAUUAUUCUCAUCAGCUCUUCCGAUGCUGCUGCUGAUCAUCUCCUGUCUGCUCUGACUGAUACAGUGAAACUUUAUCGCAAAGGGGAGCUAGCAACAAUGCUGACGGAACUGGACAUCAAAGUGAAUCAUCAUGACAAGAUUGAGCAUGACUAGAUUUCUGAAGUACCGGAGCAGUUUGGGUUUAUUGGUUUGAGACGUUACUAGCAAAUUAAUUUUUUGUCGCGUAUAUCUGUUGCUGAAACUGUGAAGGAAGAAAACCCUCUGAAUUCGACAAAAAAUCCGAGUUGGUGUAGUGUUAUCGUGAAUCUGAGUUCCUAUACUGUCGAAGUGUCAAUGCAUAUUCUGAUUUGAUUUCUACACUGAAAUGCAAUAACAUGACCGUGUGAAAAGCAGCACUUCCAUGGA